This 452-nucleotide ribosomal RNA is filed under the name uncultured Anoxybacillus sp. RNAcentral's name for it is "bacterial SSU rRNA". It matches the Rfam family "Bacterial small subunit ribosomal RNA", at positions 929 to 1382 of the family's 1533-position model. Lineage: Bacteria; Bacillati; Bacillota; Bacilli; Caryophanales; Anoxybacillaceae. The record is from RNAcentral.
GCGGUGGAGCAUGUGGUUAAUUCGAAGCAACGCGAAGAACCUUACCAGGUCUUGACAUCCCUGACAACCCGAGAGAUCGGGCGUUCCCCUUCGGGGGACAGGGUGACAGGUGGUGCAUGGUUGUCGUCAGCUCGUGUCGUGAGAUGUUGGGUUAAGUCCCGCAACGAGCGCAACCCUCGACCUUAGUUGCCAGCAUUCAGUUGGGCACUCUAAGGUGACUGCCGGCUAAAAGUCGGAGGAAGGUGGGAUGACGUCAAAUCAUCAUGCCCCUUAUGACCUGGGCUACACACGUGCUACAAUGGCCGGUACAGACGGACGCAAAGCCGCGAGGCGGAGCAAAUCCGAAAAAGCCGGUCUCAGUUCGGAUUGCAGGCUGCAAUUCGCCUGCAUGAAGUCGGAAUCGCUAGUAAUCGCAGGUCCAGCAUACUGCGGUGAAUACGUUCCCGGGCCUU